This 81-nucleotide small nucleolar RNA is filed under the name Carlito syrichta (Philippine tarsier). RNAcentral's name for it is "Small nucleolar RNA SNORD115 (ENSTSYG00000026063.1)". It matches the Rfam family "Small nucleolar RNA SNORD115". Rfam says of the family: HBII-52 is a member of the C/D class of snoRNAs, which contain the C (UGAUGA) and D (CUGA) box motifs. HBII-52 is encoded in a tandemly repeated array with another C/D snoRNA, HBII-85, in the Prader-Willi syndrome (PWS) region of chromosome 15. Lineage: Eukaryota; Metazoa; Chordata; Mammalia; Primates; Tarsiidae. The record is from Rfam by way of RNAcentral.
GGGUCAAUAAUGAAAUCUUUACCUUGUCUCUUGGGAGGUGUUUUCUUAAAAGUCAUGCUCAAUAGACUUAUGCUGAGGACC